Molecule: ribosomal RNA, 253 nt
Filed under: uncultured bacterium
Lineage: Bacteria
Description: partial 16S ribosomal RNA
Rfam family: Bacterial small subunit ribosomal RNA
Source: RNAcentral
UACGUAGGGCGCGAGCGUUGUCCGGAUUUAUUGGGCGUAAAGAGCUCGUAGGCGGCUCGUUGCGUCGGCUGUGAAAACCCGCAGCUCAACUGUGGGCUUGCAGCUGAUACGGGCGGGCUUGGAUUCGGUAGGGGAGACUGGAAUUCCUGGUGUAGCGGUGAAAUGCGCAGAUAUCAGGAGGAACACCGGUGGCGAAGGCGGGUCUCUGGGCCGAUAUCGACGCUGAGGAGCGAAAGCGUGGGGAGCGAACAGG